RNAcentral lists this ribosomal RNA (253 nucleotides) under uncultured bacterium. Its description in RNAcentral is "partial 16S ribosomal RNA". It matches the Rfam family "Bacterial small subunit ribosomal RNA", at positions 524 to 776 of the family's 1533-position model. The record is from RNAcentral.
UACGAAGGGUGCAAGCGUUGUUCGGAAUCAUUGGGCGUAAAGCGCAUGUAGGCGGUUAUUUAAGUCAGAUGUGAAAUCCCUCGGCUCAACCAAGGAAGUGCAUUUGAAACUAAAUAGCUAGAAGACGGUAGAGGAAGGUGGAAUUCCAAGUGUAGAGGUGAAAUUCGUAGAUAUUUGGAGGAAUACCUGAGGCGAAGGCGGCCUUCUGGGCCGUUCUUGACGCUGAGAUGCGAAAGCGUGGGUAGCAAACAGG